CUAAGGAGACUGCCGGUGACAAACCGGAGGAAGGUGGGGAUGACGUCAAGUCAUCAUGGCCCUUACGGCCAGGGCUACACACGUGCUACAAUGGUCGGUACAAAGGGUUGCCAAGCCGCGAGGUGGAGCUAAUCCCAUAAAACCGAUCGUAGUCCGGAUCGCAGUCUGCAACUCGACUGCGUGAAGUCGGAAUCGCUAGUAAUCGUGAAUCAGAAUGUCACGGUGAAUACGUUCCCGGGCCUUGUACACACCGCCCGUCACACCAUGGGAGUGGGUUGCUCCAGAAGUAGCUAGUCUAACCGCAAGGGGGACGGUUACCACGGAGUGAUUCAUGACUGGGGUGAAGUCGUAACAAGGUAGCCGUAGGGGAACCUGCGGCUGGAUCACCUCCUUA
RNAcentral lists this ribosomal RNA (394 nucleotides) under Pseudomonas aeruginosa. RNAcentral's name for it is "bacterial SSU rRNA". It matches the Rfam family "Bacterial small subunit ribosomal RNA", at positions 1140 to 1533 of the family's 1533-position model. The record is from RNAcentral. Lineage: Bacteria; Pseudomonadati; Pseudomonadota; Gammaproteobacteria; Pseudomonadales; Pseudomonadaceae.